GGGCCCAUAGCUCAACGGUAGAGCAUCCGGCUCAUAACCGGCUGGUUCUAGGUUCGAAUCCUAGUGGGCCCACCA
RNAcentral lists this transfer RNA (75 nucleotides) under Desulfoscipio geothermicus. RNAcentral's name for it is "tRNA_Met_CAT". It matches the Rfam family "tRNA". From Rfam's summary of the family: Transfer RNA (tRNA) molecules are approximately 80 nucleotides in length. Their secondary structure includes four short double-helical elements and three loops (D, anti-codon, and T loops). Further hydrogen bonds mediate the characteristic L-shaped molecular structure. tRNAs have two regions of fundamental functional importance: the anti-codon, which is responsible for specific mRNA codon recognition, and the 3' end, to which the tRNAs corresponding amino acid is attached (by aminoacyl-tRNA synthetases). tRNAs cope with the degeneracy of the genetic code in two manners: having more than one tRNA (with a specific anti-codon) for a particular amino acid; and 'wobble' base-pairing, i.e. permitting non-standard base-pairing at the 3rd anti-codon position. RNAcentral also lists the same sequence under 10 other names. The record is from RNAcentral. Lineage: Bacteria; Bacillati; Bacillota; Clostridia; Eubacteriales; Desulfallaceae.